AUUGAACGCUGGCGGCAGGCCUAACACAUGCAAGUAGAACGAGUGGCGGACGGGUAAGUAAUGUCAGGGAAACUGCACGAUGGCGGGGGAUAAGUACUGGCAACGGUAGAUAAUACCGCAUACCGUCAGUUCUUCCCAGAUGGGAUUAGCUGGUAGGUGGGGUAACGGCUCACUUGGGCGACGAUCCCUAGCUGGUCUGAGAGGGUGACCGGCCACAUGGGAACUGGGACACGGUCCAGAUCCCUACGGGAGGCAGCAGUGGGGAAUAUUGGACAAUGGGCGCAAGCCGGAUGCAGACAGGCGGCGUGUAUGAAGAAGGCCUUCGGGUUUAAAAGUACGUUCAGCGAGGAGGCGUUACUUGCAGAAGAAGCACCGGCUAACUCCGUGCCAGCAGCCGCGGUAAUUC
This 406-nucleotide ribosomal RNA is filed under the name uncultured bacterium. RNAcentral's name for it is "partial 16S ribosomal RNA". It matches the Rfam family "Bacterial small subunit ribosomal RNA", at positions 30 to 526 of the family's 1533-position model. The record is from RNAcentral.